RNAcentral lists this ribosomal RNA (321 nucleotides) under uncultured eukaryote. Its description in RNAcentral is "partial 18S ribosomal RNA". It matches the Rfam family "Eukaryotic small subunit ribosomal RNA", at positions 1470 to 1796 of the family's 1831-position model. The record is from RNAcentral.
CCCUUAGACGUUCUGGGCCGCACGCGCGCUACACUGACCAGUGCAACAAGCAUCCGUCCUUGGCCGACAGGCUCGGGCAAUCUUUGAACGCUGGUCGUGAUGGGGAUAGACUUUUGCAAUUAUGGGUCUUCAACGAGGAAUUCCUAGUAAACGCAAGUCAUCAGCUUGCAUUGAUUACGUCCCUGCCCUUUGUACACACCGCCCGUCGCACCUACCGAUUGAAUGGUCCGGUGAAAUCUCGGGACGGCGGCUCGGUCGCUUGCGUCCGACUGCUGAAACUUGAUUAAACCAUAUCAUUUAGAGGAAGGUGAAGUCGUAACA